This 513-nucleotide ribosomal RNA is filed under the name uncultured bacterium. RNAcentral's name for it is "bacterial SSU rRNA". It matches the Rfam family "Bacterial small subunit ribosomal RNA", at positions 8 to 518 of the family's 1533-position model. The record is from RNAcentral.
AGAGUUUGAUUCUGGCUCAGGAUGAACGCUGGCGGCGUGCUUAACACAUGCAAGUCGAACGAGGGUUGCUGGUUGAAAUUUCGGAUGGAAACCGGUAAUUCCUAGUGGCGGACGGGUGAGUAACGCGUGGGGAACCUGCCCCGCUCCGGGGGAUACCAGCUGGAAACGGCUGUUAAUACCGCAUAAGCGCACAGUAUUGCAUGAUACAGUGUGAAAAAACUCCGGUGGAACGGGAUGGCCCCCGCGUCUGAUUAGCCAGUUGGCAGGGUAACGGCCUACCAAAGCGACGAUCAGUAGCCGGCCUGAGAGGGCGACCGGCCACAUUGGGACUGAGACACGGCCCAAACUCCUAUGGGAGGCAGCAGUGGGGAAUAUUGCACAAUGGGGGAAACCCUGAUGCAGCGAACCGCCGCGUGAGUGAGGAAGUAUUUCGGUAUGUAAAGCUCUAUCAGCAGGGAAGAAGAUGACGGUACCUGCACAAGAAGCCCCGGCUAACUACGUGCCAGCCGCUGC